GGUCCAGAGCGGACAGCGCACAGCCUCCCGGCUUGCUGUCCCGGCAACCUCGCUCCGCACAAGGUGCCUCCGGGAGAAGACCGGGUCGACCGCGUCCGCGGUCGGCAAGGGUGGGGC
This 117-nucleotide non-coding RNA is filed under the name Geodermatophilus sp. RNAcentral describes it as "SAM-IV sequence". It matches the Rfam family "SAM (S-adenosyl methionine) riboswitch aptamer". Rfam says of the family: SAM-IV is a mRNA element that regulates gene expression via direct sensing of S-adenosylmethionine (SAM or AdoMet). SAM-IV riboswitches share conserved nucleotide positions with the previously described SAM-I riboswitches sequence analysis and molecular recognition experiments suggest that SAM-I and SAM-IV riboswitches share similar ligand binding sites, but have different scaffolds. The record is from RNAcentral. Lineage: Bacteria; Bacillati; Actinomycetota; Actinomycetes; Geodermatophilales; Geodermatophilaceae. RNAcentral also lists the same sequence under 1 other name.